Molecule: long non-coding RNA, 636 nt
Organism: Armigeres subalbatus
Lineage: Eukaryota; Metazoa; Arthropoda; Insecta; Diptera; Culicidae
Exons: 3
Source: RefSeq, a predicted model, not a curated record
GAUUAUAUAAAAUUGAGUAAGAUAUUGCACCGUAAUCAGAUCAUUGAAACAUGCGUUCGUUUGCCCGAUAAGAACUACAUACUAAAAGUUCACGGAAAAUAAUGCACCACGGGGAUUUUCAGCUUCUUUGUUUAGUUAACCAUCAAUAUAAUAUAAAAGAAGCUUUCGCUUCUCCUACUUACAUCAGUUCUACGAUAUAUUACAAAUCUAAAGGAAUUACAGUUCUUCCGAAACGAAACUUCAAUCUAAUCAACAUGCAAUCCAGUACCGUCAUUUGUCUAGCUCUUGUGUGCUUCGCGGCAGCAUUCAUGUCUGCUGCAGCUGCUCAGAAUGAAGAGUCAGAAAACUUGGACCAAUACGAAGUGCAAGGUGGUCCGCUCGAUCUGGUAAAAUCGGAUGUUCCUCAAUUGCGCAAUCGUUGUAAAAACUUUGGCAAUUGCGUUCAUGACAGAGUAUGUGACAAUACCUGCAAACAGUUUGGAUACAAGGAUGGAGAAUGCAGUGGAAGAUCCUGUAUUUGCUGUUCCUAAUCUCUGAGCUGUUAAACUCAAGAAGCCAAACUGUUGUACCCGAAAUAUUAUCGUAAUAUUAUAAUAAAUAAAAAACAGUUAAAAAAUGUUUAGCUAAUUUAAAAAA